UACGGAGGGUGCAAGCGUUGUCCGGAUUUAUUGGGUUUAAAGGGUGCGUAGGCGGCUUCUUAAGUCAGUGGUGAAAUCCUGCAGCUCAACUGUAGAACAGCCAUUGAUACUGAGAAGCUUGAGUACAGACGAGGUAGGCGGAAUUUAUGGUGUAGCGGUGAAAUGCAUAGAUACCAUAAAGAACACCUAUUGCGAAGGCAGCUUACUAGGCUGUAACUGACGCUGAGGCACGAAAGUGUGGGGAUCAAACAGG
This 253-nucleotide ribosomal RNA is filed under the name uncultured bacterium. RNAcentral's name for it is "partial 16S ribosomal RNA". It matches the Rfam family "Bacterial small subunit ribosomal RNA", at positions 524 to 776 of the family's 1533-position model. The record is from RNAcentral.